GACGGAGGAUGCAAGUGUUAUCCGGAAUCACUGGGCGUAAAGCGUCUGUAGGUUGUUUAAAAAGUCUGCAGUUAAAGGUUGAAGCUUAACUUCAAAAAUGCCGUAGAAACUUUUAAACUAGAGGAUGGUAGGGGUAGAGGGAAUUUCCAGUGGAGCGGUGAAAUGUGUAGAUAUUGGAAAGACCACCGAUGGCGAAGGCACUCUACUGGGCCAUGACUGACACUGAGAGACGAAAGCUAGGGGAGCAAACAGG
RNAcentral lists this ribosomal RNA (253 nucleotides) under uncultured bacterium. RNAcentral's name for it is "partial 16S ribosomal RNA". It matches the Rfam family "Bacterial small subunit ribosomal RNA", at positions 524 to 776 of the family's 1533-position model. The record is from RNAcentral.